RNAcentral lists this transfer RNA (86 nucleotides) under Sphingobacteriales bacterium. RNAcentral describes it as "tRNA-Leu(gag)". It matches the Rfam family "tRNA". From Rfam's summary of the family: Transfer RNA (tRNA) molecules are approximately 80 nucleotides in length. The record is from RNAcentral. Lineage: Bacteria; Pseudomonadati; Bacteroidota; Sphingobacteriia; Sphingobacteriales.
GCCCACGUGGCGGAAUUGGUAGACGCGCAAGGUUGAGGGCCUUGUGUCCUAUUUGGACGUGCUAGUUCGACUCUAGUCGUGGGCAC